GAAAAAAAAAGGUAUUUAUUGCCAACACUCAAAAGCAGUGAGCUAAUCCAGGUUUAGCAGAGAAUUCUCUUUUUCCCUCCCACCUUAAUAAUCAUCCUGGUGUGCCCUGCCCUCUCUCUCUUUUUUCCUAGGUCUCUCUCAUCUCUUUCCUCCCUAAAAUACUAGUUAUCCUUCAGGCCUUAUGAUUUCAAAAUAUUUGUGAAGAAUCGUGUGUAUGCGCACACACACGCGUGCGUAGUUUUUUCCUUCCUUAGAAUGAAUCCUCGCCGCCAGCUUUUGUGCCUUACCUUGUUUGUACAGAAAAAUCAACACGGGAGAAGCCCGCCUUCUGGGAACGACUUUCUACCCCCGCCAGGUCUGACUGACUUUCACAGUUGCUUCCUGGUUUGCUGCUUUUGUGCAAGAGACAUUUCCUUUUGGACAAAGCCGCCCAAGCAUAGCUUGCCAAGCUGUGCCAUGUCUGCACCUGGGAUCCGAACCGGCAAACCUUGGGCGAACGAGAAGCAGAACGUGCGAACUUAACUGCUAUGCCCCCAGGCAGGCCCCAGGAAUCAGUCUCCUUGAGCUGCUGGCCUGCUGACUCUUUUAAUGAAAUUCAUAUCUGGUCUUACGAGCUGUCAUUAGAUGAAAAUUAUUACUGAGCCUGCAAGCAACUCUCAGAUGAUUUUGAAAACCUCCAGAAUUAAUUAUGUUUAGAGACACUGCAAGCCACAUUGGGCCAAUCUGUUUCUUCUCAUUUCAAUUAAAUUGAAUUUAC
This 757-nucleotide long non-coding RNA is filed under the name Equus caballus (horse). RNAcentral describes it as "lncRNA (ENSECAG00000052061.1)". The record is from RNAcentral. Lineage: Eukaryota; Metazoa; Chordata; Mammalia; Perissodactyla; Equidae.